This 72-nucleotide transfer RNA is filed under the name Rikenellaceae bacterium. RNAcentral describes it as "tRNA-Glu". It matches the Rfam family "tRNA". From Rfam's summary of the family: Transfer RNA (tRNA) molecules are approximately 80 nucleotides in length. Their secondary structure includes four short double-helical elements and three loops (D, anti-codon, and T loops). Lineage: Bacteria; Pseudomonadati; Bacteroidota; Bacteroidia; Bacteroidales; Rikenellaceae. The record is from RNAcentral.
GGUCGGUUCAUCUAAGGGCUAGGAUACAUGCCUCUCACGCAUGACAUACGGGUUCGAAUCCCGUACCGACUA